GAAGAUGAUGAGACUAAGUAUACUUCUUUCCCAGUCUGACUCGACUAUGACGACAGGGUUGAAAACCGCUUUCUUUGCAUUUCCGUUGUCUUUGCAGGCAACCGUAAAGGGGGCUUAUACUUGCCAGUAUUAAGCAGUUCUGAUUC
RNAcentral lists this small nucleolar RNA (146 nucleotides) under Metschnikowia bicuspidata var. bicuspidata NRRL YB-4993. Its description in RNAcentral is "Small nucleolar RNA snR190". It matches the Rfam family "Small nucleolar RNA snR190". The record is from Rfam by way of RNAcentral. Lineage: Eukaryota; Fungi; Ascomycota; Pichiomycetes; Serinales; Metschnikowiaceae.